Molecule: ribosomal RNA, 389 nt
Filed under: uncultured bacterium
Lineage: Bacteria
Description: bacterial SSU rRNA
Rfam family: Bacterial small subunit ribosomal RNA
Source: RNAcentral
AAAUUGCCAUGGAUACUGGGUUUCUUGAGUACAGAAGAGGUCGGUGGAAUUCGUAGUGUAGCGGUGAAAUGCAUAGAUAUUACGAAGAACAUCAGUGGCGAAGGCGGCCGGCUGGACUGUAACUGACACUGAGGCACGAAAGCGUGGGGAGCGAACAGGAUUAGAUACCCUGGUAGUCCACGCUGUAAACGAUGCAUACUAGUUGUUGGUCCUUUGGGGCCAGUGAUGCAGUUAACGCAGUAAGUAUGCCACCUGGGGAGUACGUUCGCAAGAAUGAAACUCAAAGGAAUUGACGGGGGCCCGCACAAGCGGUGGAGCAUGUGGCUUAAUUCGAUGCAACGCGAGGAACCUUACCUGGGCUAAAUCUACAGUGUUACCUCCCGAAAAGG